Molecule: ribosomal RNA, 433 nt
Filed under: uncultured bacterium
Lineage: Bacteria
Description: partial 16S ribosomal RNA
Rfam family: Bacterial small subunit ribosomal RNA
Source: RNAcentral
AACGAACGCUGGCGGCAUGCCUAACACAUGCAAGUCGAACGAGACCUUCGGGUCUAGUGGCGCACGGGUGCGUAACGCGUGGGAACCUGCCCUUAGGUUCGGAAUAACUCCCCGAAAGGGGUGCUAAUACCGGAUAAUGUCUUCGGACCAAAGAUUUAUCGCCUUUGGAUGGGCCCGCGUUGGCUUAGCUAGUUGGUAGGGUAAAAGCCUACCAAGGCGACGAUCCAUAGCUGGUCUGAGAGGAUGAUCAGCCACACUGGGACUGAGACACGGCCCAGACUCCUACGGGAGGCAGCAGUGGGGAAUAUUGGACAAUGGGCGAAAGCCUGAUCCAGCCAUGCCGCGUGAGUGAUGAAGGCCUUAGGGUUGUACAGCUCUUUUACCCGGGAUGAUAAUGACAGUACCGGGAGAAUAAGCACCGGCUAACUCCGUG